RNAcentral lists this ribosomal RNA (466 nucleotides) under uncultured bacterium. RNAcentral describes it as "bacterial SSU rRNA". It matches the Rfam family "Bacterial small subunit ribosomal RNA", at positions 36 to 518 of the family's 1533-position model. The record is from RNAcentral.
CUGGCGGCGUGCCUAACACAUGCAAGUCGAGCGAUGAAGUUCCUUCGGAACGGAUUAGCGGCGGACGGGUGAGUAACACGUGGGUAACCUGCCUUGUAGAGGGGGAGUAGCCUUCCGAAAGGAAGAUUAAUACCGCAUAAUAUUGUAGUAUCGCAUGGUACAACAAUCAAAAGAGCAAUCUGCUACAAGAUGGACCCGCGGCGCAUUAGCUAGUUGGUAAGGUAAUGGCUUACCAAGGCGACGAUGCGUAGCCGACCUGAGAGGGUGAUCGGCCACAUUGGGACUGAGACACGGCCCAGACUCCUACGGGAGGCAGCAGUGGGGAAUAUUGCACAAUGGGGGAAACCCUGAUGCCAGCAACGCCGCGUGAGUGAUGACGGUCUUCGGAUUGUAAAACUCUGUCUUUGGGGACGAUAAUGACGGUACCCAAGGAGGAAGCCACGGCUAACUACGUGCCAGCAGCCGC